RNAcentral lists this ribosomal RNA (448 nucleotides) under uncultured prokaryote. RNAcentral describes it as "bacterial SSU rRNA". It matches the Rfam family "Bacterial small subunit ribosomal RNA", at positions 355 to 796 of the family's 1533-position model. The record is from RNAcentral.
CAAGGAAUUUUCCGCAAUGGGCGCAAGCCUGAUGCAGCAACACCGUGUGGGCGAGGAAGGUCUUCGGAUCGUAAAGCCCUGUUGUUGGGGACGAAGGGCGAAGGGUUAAUAGCCCCUAGCCUGACGGUACCCUUCGAGGAAGCCCCGGCUAACUACGUGCCAGCAGCCGCGGUAAUACGUAGGGGGCGAGCGUUGUCCGGAAUUAUUGGGCGUAAAGAGCGUGUAGGCGGCCUGGUAAGUCUGCCGUGAAAACCUGGGGCUCAACCCUGGGCGUGCGGUGGAUACUGCCAGGCUAGAGGAUGGUAGAGGCGAGUGGAAUUCCCGGUGUAGCGGUGAAAUGCGCAGAUAUCGGGAGGAACACCAGUAGCGAAGGCGGCUCGCUGGGCCAUUCCUGACGCUGAGACGCGAAAGCGUGGGGAGCAAACAGGAUUAGAUACCCGCGUAGUCC